CCUUACCUACUCUUGACAUCCUGCGAACUUGUGAGAGAUCACUUGGUGCCUUCGGGAACGCAGAGACAGGUGGUGCAUGGCCGUCGUCAGCUCGUGUUGUGAAAUGUUGGGUUAAGUCCCGUAACGAGCGCAACCCUUGUCCUUAUUUGCCAGCGCGUAAUGGCGGGAACUGUAAGGAGAAUGCCGGUGACAAACCGGAGAAAGGUGGGGACGACGUCAAGUCAUCAUGGCCCUUACGAGUAGGGAUACACACAUAGUACAAUGGUCGGUACAAAGGGUUGCGAGCUCGCAUAGUCAGCUAAUCCUGAAAAGCCUGUCUCAGUCCGGAUCGUAUCUGCAACUAAAACCCAAGGUCAAAAUCGCCACUCUUAUUUACGAACGCUA
RNAcentral lists this ribosomal RNA (384 nucleotides) under uncultured bacterium. RNAcentral describes it as "bacterial SSU rRNA". It matches the Rfam family "Bacterial small subunit ribosomal RNA", at positions 969 to 1335 of the family's 1533-position model. The record is from RNAcentral.